This is a non-coding RNA of Caenorhabditis elegans, 137 nucleotides long. Lineage: Eukaryota; Metazoa; Nematoda; Chromadorea; Rhabditida; Rhabditidae. The record is from Ensembl.
AUUUGUAUAACCUUUGUGCCUAAAUCUCCUCAUCUCUCCUCUCUCUUGGCUUCGUUCCAAAUCAAACGAACCCGCAUACAUUCCUUGUGUGUGUGUGUGUGCAAGUGGACUAAAUUCGUAUGGGCGGGUCGGUACAU